AUUGAACGCUGGCGGCAUGCCUUACACAUGCAAGUCGAACGGCAGCACGGGAGCAAUCCUGGUGGCGAGUGGCGAACGGGUGAGUAAUAUAUCGGAACGUGCCCAGUCGUGGGGGAUAACGUAGCGAAAGCUACGCUAAUACCGCAUACGAUCUAUGGAUGAAAGCGGGGGAUCGCAAGACCUCGCGCGAUUGGAGCGGCCGAUAUCAGAUUAGGUAGUUGGUGAGGUAAAGGCUCACCAAGCCGACGAUCUGUAGCUGGUCUGAGAGGACGACCAGCCACACUGGAACUGAGACAACGGUCCAGACUCCUACGGGAGGCAGCAGUGGGGAAUUUUUGGACAAUGGGCGCAAGCCUGAUCCAGCAAUGCCGCGUGCAGGAUGAAGGCCU
This 389-nucleotide ribosomal RNA is filed under the name uncultured bacterium. Its description in RNAcentral is "bacterial SSU rRNA". It matches the Rfam family "Bacterial small subunit ribosomal RNA", at positions 30 to 417 of the family's 1533-position model. The record is from RNAcentral.